GGGGAAUAUUGCACAAUGGGGGAAACCCUGAUGCAGCGACGCCGCGUGGAGGAAGAAGGUCUUCGGAUUGUAAACUCCUGUUGUUGGGGAAGAUAAUGACGGUACCCAACAAGGAAGUGACGGCUAACUACGUGCCAGCAGCCGCGGUAAAACGUAGGUCACAAGCGUUGUCCGGAAUUACUGGGUGUAAAGGGAGCGCAGGCGGGAAGACAAGUUGGAAGUGAAAUCUAUGGGCUCAACCCAUAAACUGCUUUCAAAACUGUUUUUCUUGAGUAGUGCAGAGGUAGGCGGAAUUCCCGGUGUAGCGGUGGAAUGCGUAGAUAUCGGGAGGAACACCAGUGGCGAAGGCGGCCUACUGGGCACCCAACUGACGCUGAGGCUCGAAAGUGUGGGUAGCAAACAGGAUUAGAUACCCUGGUAGUCCACACCGUAAACGAUGAUUACUAGGUGUUGGAGGAUUGACCCCUUCAGUGCCGCAGUUAACACAAUAAGUAAUCCACCUGGGGAGUACGACCGCAAGGUUGAAACUCAAAGGAAUUGACGGGGGCCCGCACAAGCAGUGGAGUAUGUGGUUUAAUUCGACGCAACGCGAAGAACCUUACCAAGUCUUGACAUCCUGCGACGGAUAUAGAAAUAUGUCUUUCCUUCGGGACGCAGAGACAGGUGGUGCAUGGUUGUCGUCAGCUCGUGUCGUGAGAUGUUGGGUUAAGUCCCGCAACGAGCGCAACCCUUAUGGUCAGUUACUACGCAAGAGGACUCUGGCCAGACUGCCGUUGACAAAACGGAGGAAGGUGGGGAUGACGUCAAAUCAUCAUGCCCUUUAUGACUUGGGCUACACACGUACUACAAUGGCGUUAAACAAAGAGAAGCAAGACCGCGAGGUGGAGCAAAACUCAGAAACAACGUCCCAGUUCGGACUGCAGGCUGCAACUCGCCUGCACGAAGUCGGAAUUGCUAGUAAUCGUGGAUCAGCAUGCCACGGUGAAUACGUUCCCG
RNAcentral lists this ribosomal RNA (996 nucleotides) under uncultured bacterium. RNAcentral's name for it is "bacterial SSU rRNA". It matches the Rfam family "Bacterial small subunit ribosomal RNA", at positions 356 to 1376 of the family's 1533-position model. The record is from RNAcentral.